UGGUUGGAACUGUGUUUCAGGCAGCCGC
This 28-nucleotide non-coding RNA is filed under the name Rattus norvegicus (Norway rat). Lineage: Eukaryota; Metazoa; Chordata; Mammalia; Rodentia; Muridae. The record is from RNAcentral.